GGAGAGAAUGCGGGCUGCUAGUGGGGGCGGUAUGCAGAGGGUCAGAACUGAUUUUAUUGGAUGUGGGACUGAGCUGUGGGUGACUGGAGUUGGGCUCUCAGGCCAAGAGGAAGGUGUUUGUGCUGAGAGCUCCCUGCCUGCCUCACAUGGUCAUGAUCUCUGCCCUCUGCAUCCAGUUCCUCUUGCGAACACCUCAGGUACUCACCCUCCCCCAUAUUCCUGUACCAACAAUCACUAAAAGAUGAAAAAGAUGCCACUUGCAGUGCAGAUGGGAAAGAUGCCACUUGGAGUUCAGCACCCAGCAUGGUGGCUCCCAGCCAUCUGACCCUGAAGCUGAUGCACUCGGCUUUCUCAUCUUGCUCCCUGGCUCCGGGAUGGAUCCCCUGACCCCAGUCUGUGACAGCCCAGGGUUUCUCAGCUCAGACACAUUCACCCCCGCACUGUCACCCACCAGGAUGGCUCUAACCCACCUGCGGCCCACCCUUUCCCUCACUGCCCCUGCUGUCUCCUUCCUCUUGGCACAAGUUCCUUGCCUCCACUCUCAUCCCCACUUCCCCAACCGGUCCCUCACCUAUUGAAUGAAUGCACCUCCCACUCCUCUCCUGUUGUCCUAGUCCAGCAUCUGCCUCCCCAAACCAUCAGAGAAACCCUGAGGCUUUGGAGCUUCUUCUUUAUGCAGUCUUCUCAAUUAUCCACCUCUGAGAGUGGCUUAUCCACUGAAGACUUCUCAGCAGCCUCCAGUUAUGAAAUGAAAUUUUAGAUUGAAAGAGGUGGUUUUCCAAGCCUCCCUGAAAGAGAGACUCUGUUUCAUUCCCCACCCCUGCACCUUAAUUCUCACCCAGCACUUAAUGGAGUUUACUGCAUUAAACAGUAUGGUAGUUGUUAGUACAGUAACUACUACUACACAGUUACUAUUA
This is a long non-coding RNA of Ornithorhynchus anatinus (platypus), 917 nucleotides long. RefSeq lists it as uncharacterized. The record is from RefSeq and is a predicted model, not a curated record. The transcript has 5 exons. Lineage: Eukaryota; Metazoa; Chordata; Mammalia; Monotremata; Ornithorhynchidae.